CUGCAUGUGGAUCAAAGGCAUCAUUGUAGGAACAAGAAAGAUAAGAACUUACAGAUUUUUGUAUCUGAAACAAGUCACCUGAAACAUCUCUCCUGUCACCAGGCAGACUCUUUACAGACACUGAUGGGAUUAUCAGGCGGAAGCGGUAUUUGUCCUCCAUUUUCUCUUCCUAAGUGCCAGGGACCUGGAUUUGGCUGGUUUAAAGACCAUCCUUGCCCAUGUAAAGAGUCUCUCUAAUCCUUGUCUCUCUAAGAGUCUCUCUAAGCCAGCGACAUCCUGCCCUUGAUGUUGCUGUGACAGUCAGAUGAUCCAUAUAAGCUUGAAUGGGCGAUUGUUGAAUACUGGCCUAGUGCACCCAGUAAUGUUGCCUUUUGCUAGGCGAUGUCAUGCGGAAGUUGUUGUCCCAGAGGUAAAUCUCAAGCUGAAGUUUCUAUAAGGUAUCUGGGGCUUCUUGUCUGUGUGGUUCUCUGAUGCUGCUACUUGUUCCUGACCCUCUUUUAGUACUUUACCACAAAAAUGUGUAGCAUUUUACAUGCAUAUCUUAUUGAAUGAUGCCACACUGGUUGCUUAUUUCAUAAAUGUUGUGUGGCCUUUGUUUGUUUGCUUACAAGCACCAAAAACUAUUUACUUUAGAGCAGCGGUUCCCAGUUUCCCAGUUCCGGUCCUCUCCCCCCUACAUGCAUG
Molecule: long non-coding RNA, 684 nt
Organism: Cyprinus carpio carpio
Lineage: Eukaryota; Metazoa; Chordata; Actinopteri; Cypriniformes; Cyprinidae
Source: Ensembl